RNAcentral lists this ribosomal RNA (255 nucleotides) under uncultured bacterium. RNAcentral's name for it is "partial 16S ribosomal RNA". It matches the Rfam family "Bacterial small subunit ribosomal RNA", at positions 524 to 776 of the family's 1533-position model. The record is from RNAcentral.
UACGAAGGGGGCUAGCGUUGUUCGGAAUUACUGGGCGUAAAGCGUAUGCAGGCGGAUCGUUAAGUCGGGGGUGAAAUCCCGAGGCUCAACCUCGGAACUGCCUUCGAUACUGGCGACCUUCGAGUCCGGGAGAGGUGAGUGGAACUCCGAGUGUAGAGGUGAAAAUUCGUAGAUAUUCGGAAGAACACCAGUGGCGAAGGCGGCUCACUGGCCCGGUACUGACGCUGAGAUACGAAAGCGUGGGGAGCAAACAGG